This is an RNA transcript of Saccostrea cuccullata (small rock oyster), 3666 nucleotides long. It is a transcript of the gene named two pore calcium channel protein 1-like, with no coding region annotated. Lineage: Eukaryota; Metazoa; Mollusca; Bivalvia; Ostreida; Ostreidae. The record is from RefSeq and is a predicted model, not a curated record. The transcript is spliced from 20 exons.
AAGCCUUUAAUUUACUUUGAGGACCGGCAACGAGGAACGCCCCUAGACUAAUUUUUGGGGAGAAACAUACAAUAUGUGGUCCUUUUAAGGUCUAAUUUGAAUGAAGAUUAACCAUAUUGAUAACCUGAAAUGUGAGAUUUUCCUGAUGAUGAAAUAUAUUUAUUCCACGUCGUGAUAUUUACUGAAGGAGAGAAAAAUGAGCGAAUCUCCAGAAACCGUAAACCAAGACUCCAUCAUUGAAAUAGAGCAAAAAGGAUCAACAACUGAAAUUAACAAUAAAGGAUCGAAUGUAUCAACUGAGUCUGGACAAAACGAACAAAAAAUUUCCAGAGUCGACAAUGACACUUCAGCUAGUGGAAAUGACUCAGCAAGAAACUCCAUUGACAAAUCAGCCACGAAGUGGGGAAUCCAUGAAGAUCUAAAGCAUCUUCAAGAGGAGGAUAUCAUCUUAGCUGCAACUCUUGUGAUUGAUGCAAAAGAAGGAAGAAAUUUUACAUUUAAAACAGACCCUACUUAUGUCAGGUCAUACAACUUGUACCACAAGUUCUACCUGCGGUAUCUACUCUACUUCAUGAUUCUCUUUAACCUGGCCCUGGCUCUGUUUGAGAGGCCGGCCAAACCUGGCUGGGAAAUACCCGCCUGGGCCUCCAUGUUACUAGAGCUGGUGUGUCUCUCGUUCUUUAUCUACCGUUUUACUCACUGCGCCUACUUCAGCCAGAGAAGUGUGUUUUGGAGGGACACCAAAAAUAUCCUCAUCCUUGUAGUCAUUGUGCUAACUUUUAUUGAUAUGCUGUGCUUUUUAAUCUGGGACAACGUGAAGACGUCCUCUCGACCAAUCAGAUGGUCUCGGCCACUACGGCCCCUAUUCCUCAUCAACUUCCCCGACGGAAAACAGAUCCGUCGAGCCUUUCGAAACAUCCGUCGGACGGUCCCAGAAAUUAUGAAUGUCCUGGUUUUAUUUCUUCUCAGUGUCCUGUUGUUUGGGUUACUGGCAUUAAAACUUUUCAGUAGGAGGGACCUUGUAUAUGCCAAUGGUAAGCCCUAUUUCAAGAAUUACCUGGACAGUAUAUGGGACCUCUAUGUUUUAGUCACCACGGCAAACAGUCCUGAUGUCAUGAUGCCAGCCUAUGACAGAAGUAACUGGUUCGCUGUAUUCUUCGUUAUGUACAUUGUGAUUUGUUGGUUGAUUUUUAUGAGUAUUGUGUUGGCGGCCAUUUACUACAGCUACAGAAAGAACCUAAAGAAUGAAAUUAAAGCUGCUGUUUAUGGGAAGAGAAAGAAGCUUGGUCAGGCGUUUGACAUCCUGAAAGUUCAGACCGGGGGCCGCGUGGUGGUGACCUACACCGUGUGGUGCGAGUUAAUGAAGCGUGUCAUCCCUGACCGGAGCAGGAGCCACAUUGACCUACUCAUCAGGGUGCUGGACAUUGAUGGAUCAAACAUGAUUCGUAAGCAGCAGUUCCUGAAACUGGCCGACCUUUUAGAACUCCAGCUGUCAGAGGUCAAGGACAGACUGACCUUCCUGGAGCAUACGUUUCCCGGCAUAUACAACUCCUACAUCAGUGGACUCCUCAAACGGGUGGUCAGACACAAAGCCUUUCGGUACUUCUUUGACUUUAUGAUCUUUGUCAAUGCCUGGUUUAUUGGUUUUGAUGUAGACGAGGCAGAUUGGUUCUUCCUGGGGAUAUUCAUGCUGGAAAUCGUAUUAAAACUGUACACAUUUGGACCUCGAGAGUUCUUCAAAGUCUUCUGGAAUGUAUUUGACUUCAUAGUAAUCGGGGCAGCAGUCAUUGCCUCAGCUAUUGAAGCCAUUGAAGAUUCCACUUAUGAGGAGUUCCAGCUUCUAGAUUAUCUCCUUGUAUUAAGAGUUCUGAGGCUUUUUAAAAUAUUUGGAAGUAUUAAACGCUUUAAAGUGAUCCUUCAAACAAUCAUCAACAUAGGGCCAUCUAUUAUUACUUAUGGGGGAGUCAUUGUGGUGUUUUACUAUAUUUUCGCCAUUAUUGGUAUGGAGGUUUUCCAGAACCUUAUCCAUUACUAUGAUUACUACAAUGAGACGUCGCAACCUUUCUGUGGGAAUGCCAAACUGAACGGCACCCAGUUCUACACCUUCCACUACUGUAAUAACAACUUUAAUGAUCUCCUACACUCUCUGGUUCUACUGGUGGAGCUCACUGUUGUUAAUCAUGGUUCACUGUUAGCAUCAGGAUUUGUAUCAGUGACCAGUAAAGUGGCUCGACUUUAUUUCUUUUGUUUUCAUAUGUGUUGUGUCAUCAUCGUCCUUAAUAUCUUUAUUGCAUUUAUUCUUGAGGCAUUUAUACUGGAGUACACCAUACAAAAGGUGGGAAAGUUGGAGUCUUAUGUUGAACAAAAAAUCCGUGAUCUGGGAUUAGGCCUUGGACAGACUGGCCCUAGACCACGUCAGUUGUCUACAGCAAAUGAUGGCUCUGAACUGGUUCCCAAUGAGGAGCUGGCUAACGUUGACCAGCCAGACUCGGACUCCGAUACAGAGAGUAUUCCUGAUUUAUCCACAGAGAAAGGGCUCAGAUUUCACCUCAAAAAGAAAAGUCGCAAGAAGGUGGAGGUCCUGUUACAACAGAUGUUUGAGGGGGAGAUUGACCCCGAAGACGAGGGACCGGAAAAUGAGACGGAAAUUUAUGUUGACAAAGGACCAAGGCGACUCACCCUGGACACUGUGGCUUAAUCAACACAGAAGUCGAGGGGACAGAAAACAUCAAAAAAGGACCAAGAAGACUCAUCAUAGACACGCUGGAUUAAUCAUCAGUCUUCAGUCAUCUUCAUCAAUUUGUCUUCCAAUAAAAUCAAAAGACUUAUCUUUCUGUUAAUAUUUCGGAAGAUCUAUUUGAUUUUACUUUUACAAAUAUUUGUUGUAAGUUGGUUGGCAUUAUUUAUCUCAUGUAUCUAUGAAGAAACUGAAGUUUUCCUUCAUAGAAUUUAUCUUAUGACUCCAGUUUUACUCUUAUUUUUAUUUUACUAUGUCUACAGUGGAAUUUUGAGUUCCAUUUAGGACUGCAUCAUUAUUUUUGGAACUUCCAGUAGACAGGAUGUGAUAUGAAUGAUUUUGUUUUUCCCAACGAAACAAAGACAUUUUAGAAGUUAAGGAAUGAAAUUGAUGAAAUGUUUCAUCAUUAUAAAUAUACUACAUGUAUAAAUUACCAUGGACUUUGGUUAACAUGGUGUUUUUACAUUGUUAAUACUCAGUUUCUUAAUAAUACUUUGUACACUGCUAUUUACAGGUACAUUAUAGACACAUACAAUGUAUUUAUCAACGCAUUGACACAAUUCCUUACUUUUCAAAGAAAAGACUAAUAUGAAGGAAUCAAUGUGAAUGCAUAGAUGGUUACAUAUUUAUUCUCUGUAGACUUCUGGUUAAAAAAACUCUUUAAAUAUACUGGACGAGAUUACUGGAUGUUUGAUUAUGUUUUAUGAAUGGGAAUGGUUUGUCUCACUGUUGUUAAGGAAAGUUGGUAGAAACAAACUUUUAUAGAAUAACAAGUCUUGAAAAUAACAUUUUCAUUAAACUUUCCUUAAAUAAAAUUCAGAAGAUCAUUUUUAGUUCAAACUUUAAAAAGCUGAAUUUUAAGUCAAAUGAAAGGUCGCACGAGAUAAAAAGGAUGGCUGCUGAAAGGGUUUUGAACUUCGUAGAAAGUU